CAGGGUUUCUCCGCUUCUCCUCCAGCAGCUCAGCCAUGGCGGACGUUGAGGUCGAUGUGGCCUCGGGGCAGCCGAAGCGGAGGACGUUCCGCAAGUUCAGCUUCCGCGGCGUUGAUCUUGAUGCUCUGCUCGACAUGAAGAAUGAGGAGCUCGUCAAGCUCUUCCAUGCUCGAGCUCGCCGUAGGUUCCAGAGAGGUCUGAAGCGUAAGCCGCUGGCUCUGAUCAAGAAGUUGCGCAAGGCGAAACAGGAGGCUCCUCAGGGAGAGAAGCCUGAGCCAGUAAGGACUCACCUGCGCAAUAUGAUCAUCGUGCCUGAGAUGAUUGGCAGCAUCAUUGGAGUCUACAAUGGCAAAACCUUCAACCAGGUUGAGAUCAAGCCUGAAAUGAUUGGCCACUACCUUGCUGAGUUCUCCAUCUCCUACAAGCCGGUCAAGCACGGCAGGCCUGGUAUUGGUGCCACCCACUCUUCUAGGUUCAUCCCUCUCAAGUAAUGUGUCAGUUUUCAGUGUCCCUCUGGACUAGUGUUAUUUGUCUUCCUUGUUGAACUUGGUUCUUAUUUUCAG
Molecule: unclassified non-coding RNA, 563 nt
Filed under: Hevea brasiliensis (rubber tree)
Lineage: Eukaryota; Viridiplantae; Streptophyta; Magnoliopsida; Malpighiales; Euphorbiaceae
Source: RNAcentral